This 440-nucleotide ribosomal RNA is filed under the name uncultured bacterium. RNAcentral's name for it is "partial 16S ribosomal RNA". It matches the Rfam family "Bacterial small subunit ribosomal RNA", at positions 338 to 795 of the family's 1533-position model. The record is from RNAcentral.
CCUACGGGAGGCUGCAGUGAGGAAUAUUGGUCAAUGGGCGGAAGCCUGAACCAGCCAAGCAGCGUGCAGGAUGACGGCCUUACGGGUUGUAAACUGUUUUUUUACGGAAAAUUCUCACCUUAUCUGAAGAGUAUUCCACGGCUCACUCCGUUCCAGCAGCCGCGGUAAUACGGCAGGUGCAAGCGUUACACGGAAUUACUGGGCGUAAAGGGAGCGUAGGCGGGGUAAUAAGUCUGAUGUGAAAUGCUGUAGCUUAACUACAGACGUGCAUUGGAAACUGGCGUGCUGGAGUGUGGGAGAGGUAGGUGGAAUUCGUGGUGUAGGGGUAAAAUGCGUAGAGAUGACGAGGAACACCGAUUGCGAAGGCGGCUUGCUGGAACGUAACUGACGCUGAUGCUCGAAAGCGUGGGGAGCGAACAGGAUUAGAUACCCUUGUAGUC